Molecule: ribosomal RNA, 467 nt
Filed under: uncultured bacterium
Lineage: Bacteria
Description: partial 16S ribosomal RNA
Rfam family: Bacterial small subunit ribosomal RNA
Source: RNAcentral
GACGAACGCUGGCGGCGUGCUUAACACAUGCCAGUCGAACGGAAAGGCCCUGCUUUGUGGGGUGCUCGAGUGGCGAACGGGUGAGUAACACGUGAGUAACCUGCCCUUGACUUUGGGAUAACUUCAGGAAACUGGGGCUAAUACCGGAUAGGAGCUCCUGCUGCAUGGUGGGGGUUGGAAAGUUUCGGCGGUUGGGGAUGGACUCGCGGCUUAUCAGCUUGUUGGUGGGGUAGUGGCUUACCAAGGCUUUGACGGGUAGCCGGCCUGAGAGGGUGACCGGCCACAUUGGGACUGAGAUACGGCCCAGACUCCUACGGGAGGCAGCAGUGGGGAAUAUUGCACAAUGGGCGGAAGCCUGAUGCAGCAACGCCGCGUGCGGGAUGACGGCCUUCGGGUUGUAAACCGCUUUCGCCUGUGACGAAGCGUGAGUGACGGUAAUGGGUAAAGAAGCACCGGCUAACUACGUG